This 443-nucleotide long non-coding RNA is filed under the name Citrus x clementina. RNAcentral describes it as "Citrus clementina (C. clementina) long non-coding RNA (CCLE_LNC003818)". Lineage: Eukaryota; Viridiplantae; Streptophyta; Magnoliopsida; Sapindales; Rutaceae. The record is from RNAcentral.
GUACAUGGCGGAUCUGACGUCCAUGGAGACUUUGAGUUGCUGGAGACAAUUGGCGAAAACGAGCGUGUAUUGAUCGGCGUCGUUCUCGGAAUAGAUGGUGCUGUACUCGGAUUUGCCGUUGAGGUUGUUGAAGGUGAAGACUUGUUUGAUUAGAUCGGACUGGAGAACGCACGUGAUCUCUCCGUCUUCGAGCUGUUGGAGCACGUGGAGCCAUGAGUCGUGAGUGCAGAGGAAGAAUCCGACCUUGGAGAAGUCGAGGUCCGGGUUUGAAAGGGAGAUUUUGGAAACGUUGAGCUCGAGACGGCCACGGUGUGUGAACCCAAACUCGUCGAACGGGAUUAUCGGGCGGUUAUCGUUUCGAAUCUCGUUGAAUCGGAUCGCGGCCGAUGAAAGGGAAAGCAAUUGGAAGACCAACACACAGAAAACCAAGGAUUUUGAGACAC